This is a long non-coding RNA of Papaver somniferum (opium poppy), 2177 nucleotides long. RefSeq lists it as uncharacterized. NCBI's taxonomy places the organism in Eukaryota, Viridiplantae, Streptophyta, Magnoliopsida, Ranunculales, Papaveraceae. The record is from RefSeq and is a predicted model, not a curated record. The transcript has 5 exons.
GGAAAAUUAUCCUAUGCUUUUAUGCAUUAUCCCUCAUCCUCAUUUGUAUAGCAUUUUCAUUUUAUUGUCGAGUUAUCUUAUGUUGGGUAUUUUAUAAGGUUAUUAUUGAUUGAUUUUCUUACGUCUGAUUACCUUUUGACUUUUCAUGCCUUAAUAUUUGAGUGUCUCAAGUUUAGCUUCAGAUCAGAUUUGUUGAAAGAUGAUGUUUCACGUUUAUCUUCUGAUCAGAUUUGUUUCACCUUGAACAAUUACUGCACUUAGAAAAUAAUGGUUCUUGCGUCUACCGUGUCUCUCUAUCUAAUAUUUGUUAUUCCCUUUUACUUUGUAAUGUAUUUCUCAUUUGAAGAUGGGAAACAUUAGUAUUAUUAGUUCACCGUGUUUGCUAAGUUCUUCCCUCUUUUUGCAGCCAACUAGAUAACAACCAAUUUAAGGGAAGUCGAUGAAUAAACUCUUGGUUGUAUUGAAGCUUUGUUCUUGAAUAAGCACGAUUCUGCCAUCAGCGCAUCUUCAACUAGCUGAAAUUUUGUUGCAGAGUUCUUCAUUUAAUGAUAUUAUGCUUCUAAUACAUGCACAUUGUUUUCAUUCAGUUUUUGAAGGAAUAACCGUUAGAGUUGCAGGUGGUUGGACUUUUGCGAGGUUUCAAACCCCUUUAAUACGAUAAGGCACAGUUGGUGCGUUAGGUGGUGUCAUACAAGUGAAUGCAUCACUCUUACUCCUUACUCCGACUAGAGUCACAAGGGUUAAGGUAAAUAGGCCAGAGAAACGCUACUCUUGCAGCUAAAAAUGUCUCAGAAGACUGUCCAGAUCACUGUCCAUGGAAAAACACUGGCAAAGAUGCAGUAUAGACAAAAGGUGAUCAAGGCAAGGCUUCUAAGUCUGGAAACCGUAAAACCAAUGAGGCAUAUGGCAUGGAUAUGCACUUAAUGGAUGAAAACGUAAGAAAUAUCCUUCUUAACUUAGGAUUUGUUGAAUUAUAAUCGUUAUGUUGUUACUGUAGUGAAAACAAGUUCACUACAUGUCAUAGAAAACUCAGAUGCAUGCAAAGUUACCAAAGGAUCUCACAGGAAUUUUUGAGAUUCAGUUGGUCGAAGGAUACAUAUUCCAUUGCAAGGUUACUCUUAUCGUCUCCGUAGGGAAAUUUCAGAAUUGUUGAUUGUACACAUGUUAUGUGGUUUAACAAAUUCAGUAAAGUAAAGCUGUCAGACAGCGAUAAACCGGGAUUUCCAUAACACAAGUUCAACUUCAUAGACGCAUCUAGCAAAGUGGAUGACACCACGUUCUAUUUAAGCAAGGAUUGCAUUGCAUUUCAGUUACCUAUGCAAUUUAAGAUACGUGUCUCUGACAUAAUUAUUUCGUGGAGAUGCUAUCAGAAAAUUGAACUCCGUCUUACCAUGGUAGCCUUCGAUAGCCAGGACAGGGCCUGCAAAGUGCCAAAGGGUGAAAUAAGAAUCCAAGAUGCCAAAGGGAUCAACAUGAAGGUAAGUUUUGGGAGAGAAUGACGCAAACCAGAAGAGGGGGGGUGACAAACGAACACAGAAAUGCGCCAAUAUUGUUCUUAUCAGUGAAACGUUCCCUUGCGAUCUCUAUGUAUACCUUACUGCAAUAUGCAACCGGACAAGACAUUCACCUGCUUAGCAACGAUUCUGGGCUUGGUUGAGGUUAGAGAGUGGUUCCACAUGGCAUGCAAGAAAUGCACUAAAAAAGUUGAUUAUGAAGAUGAUGAGCCUUACUGCAGCAACUGCAAAAAAGAUUUUGAAGAAGAGGUACCAUGGCAAUUAUAACUGACAUGUUUGGUGCAGGAACAAUCCACUGAGAUGUAUUAACUUCAUGGAGUAUACAGGGGUACAAAUUAAACCUAGCCGCAAGAGAUUACACAUCAACUGCAGUAUUUACUGUGACGGGAAAGAGGACAGAAAAGCUGAUUAGAUGCACUAUUUAUAAAUACAAGUGGAGUGCACAUGUGUUGCACGUCGGCAAACGCUAGUUUUUUCAUGUUCACGAAUCAUGGCUAAGAGUGUUGCUGCCAAUCUGCCACAUCCCGUAUCAGCCAUGUCCUAACAAAAUCCCUAACAAUCUUGCAGCGAAAACAUCAAUUAUAAAUUUACUUAUCACCAAGAUAUAUUCAAAAAUCACAAUAAUGAACUUGUAUAGAAGAACACACAAACAGGUCCCAGAGU